Molecule: ribosomal RNA, 527 nt
Filed under: uncultured bacterium
Lineage: Bacteria
Description: bacterial SSU rRNA
Rfam family: Bacterial small subunit ribosomal RNA
Source: RNAcentral
CGUACAUCCAGAGAACUUAGCAGAGAUGCUUGGUGCCUUCGGGAACUCUGAGACAGGUGCUGCAUGGCUGUCGUCAGCUCGUGUUGUGAAAUGUUCGGUUAAGUCCCGCAACGAGCGCAACCCUUAUCCUUUGUUGCCAGCGGUUCGGCCGGGAACUCAAAGGAGACUGCCGGUGAUAAACCGGAGGAAGGUGGGGAUGACGUCAAGUCAUCAUGGCCCUUACGGCCAGGGCUACACACGUGCUACAAUGGCGCAUACAAAGAGAAGCGACCUCGCGAGAGCAAGCGGACCUCAUAAAGUGCGUCGUAGUCCGGAUUGGAGUCUGCAACUCGACUCCAUGAAGUCGGAAUCGCUAGUAAUCGUAGAUCAGAAUGCUACGGUGAAUACGUUCCCGGGCCUUGUACACACCGCCCGUCACACCAUGGGAGUGGGUUGCAAAAGAAGUAGGUAGCUUAACCUUCGGGAGGGCGCUUACCACUUUGUGAUUCAUGACUGGGGUGAAGUCGUAACAAGGUAAGCGUAGCGAG